RNAcentral lists this ribosomal RNA (274 nucleotides) under uncultured bacterium. RNAcentral describes it as "partial 16S ribosomal RNA". It matches the Rfam family "Bacterial small subunit ribosomal RNA", at positions 523 to 796 of the family's 1533-position model. The record is from RNAcentral.
AUACUUAGGGUGCAAGCGUUAAUCGGAAUUACUGGGCGUAAAGCGCACGUAGGCGGUAUAUCAAGUUAGGCGUGAAAGCCCUGGGCUCAACCCGGGAACUGCGCUUAUUACUGAUGAACUAGAGUCUGGGAGAGGGUAGCGGAAUUCCCAGUGUAGAGGUGAAAUUCGUAGAUAUUGGGAAGAACACCAGUUGCGAAGGCGGCUACCUGGACCGGCACUGACGCUGAGGUGCGAAAGCGUGGGGAGCAAACAGGAUUAGAAACCCCAGUAGUCC